CACACUUUUUGAGGUCUUUUUGGGUUGUAACGGGGCUUUGGUUUAGGUAGGGUAUGAAAUUGGAACAACGGUUUUUUGGGUCUUUUGGUUCAGAGUACAUGAAAUCAUUCUCUCACUACGUUUCUUUCCUAUUAUUCCUGUAGGGUUUUGCACUCCUCUUUUCCUUUUAUCUAUAGUGAAUGUAGCAUUUUUCAAAAGCUGUUAUUUUAUUGUUUUUCGCUUUUCUCUUUCUUUGUUGUUGUUUUUUUUUUCUCUUUUUUUUUCUUUUUUUCUUUUUUCUUUUAUACGACAUUCACUUACUAUUCACGUACUGCAAAGCUACCCCAAACUUAAAGGUUGCUAUUCCAACAGCAACCCCAAACUUAGCUAGAAACGUAGAGAUGAAAUCACUCCUCACAUACUCUGAACAAGGUAGGCUAGGUACAAGGUCAUGGAUUUAGAACAAACGGGUAUAUCAGAAAUAAAUGAUUAACAGGCUCAACAGGGUAGGAUAGGUACAAGGUCAUGGAUUUUGAAAAAAAAACGGGUAUAUCAAAAAUAAAUGAUUAACAGGCUCAACAGGGUAAAACAAUGGAUAAUGAUAAUAAUGGGAUGGCUAGAAAGGCUCUAGGUGAUAAACAAAACAUGCCUCAGUGU
This 636-nucleotide long non-coding RNA is filed under the name Lathyrus oleraceus (garden pea). RNAcentral describes it as "Pisum sativum (pea) long non-coding RNA (PSAT_LNC040320)". Lineage: Eukaryota; Viridiplantae; Streptophyta; Magnoliopsida; Fabales; Fabaceae. The record is from RNAcentral.